GGGCGUAAAGAGCUCGUAGGUGGUUUGUCGCGUUGUUCGUGAAAUCUCACGGCUUAACUGUGAGCGUGCGGGCGAUACGGGCAGACUAGAGUACUGCAGGGGAGACUGGAAUUCCUGGUGUAGCGGUGGAAUGCGCAGAUAUCAGGAGGAACACCGGUGGCGAAGGCGGGUCUCUGGGCAGUAACUGACGCUGAGGAGCGAAAGCGUGGGGAGCGAACAGGAUUAGAUACCCUGGUAGUCCACGCCGUAAACGGUGGGUACUAGGUGUGGGUUUCCUUCCUUGGGAUCCGUGCCGUAGCUAACGCAUUAAGUACCCCGCCUGGGGAGUACGGCCGCAAGGCUAAAACUCAAAGGAAUUGACGGGGGCCCGCACAAGCGGCGGAGCAUGUGGAUUAAUUCGAUGCAACGCGAAGAACCUUACCUGGGUUUGACAUGCACAGGACGCGUCUAGAGAUAGGCGUUCCCUUGUGGCCUGUGUGCAGGUGGUGCAUGGCUGUCGUCAGCCCGUGUCGUGAGAUGUUGGGUUAAGUCCCGCAACGAGCGCAACCCUUGUCUCAUGUUGCCAGCGGGUAAUGCCGGGGACUCGUGAGAGACUGCCGGGGUCAACUCGGAGGAAGGUGGGGAUGACGUCAAGUCAUCAUGCCCCUUAUGUCCAGGGCUUCACACAUGCUGCAAUGGCCGGUACAAAGGGCUGCGAUGCCGUAAGGUUAAGCGAAUCCUUUUAAAGCCGGUCUCAGUUCGGAUUGGGGUCUGCAACUCGACCCCAUGAAGUCGGAGUCGCUAGUAAUCACA
RNAcentral lists this ribosomal RNA (792 nucleotides) under uncultured Mycobacterium sp. RNAcentral describes it as "bacterial SSU rRNA". It matches the Rfam family "Bacterial small subunit ribosomal RNA", at positions 556 to 1346 of the family's 1533-position model. Lineage: Bacteria; Bacillati; Actinomycetota; Actinomycetes; Mycobacteriales; Mycobacteriaceae. The record is from RNAcentral.